This 468-nucleotide ribosomal RNA is filed under the name uncultured bacterium. RNAcentral describes it as "partial 16S ribosomal RNA". It matches the Rfam family "Bacterial small subunit ribosomal RNA", at positions 28 to 507 of the family's 1533-position model. The record is from RNAcentral.
GACGAACGCUGGCGGCGUGCUUAACACAUGCAAGUCGAACGGAAAGGCCCUGCGUUUGUGGGGUGCUCGAGUGGCGAACGGGUGAGUAACACGUGAGUAACCUGCCCUUGACUUUGGGAUAACUUCAGGAAACUGGGGCUAAUACCGGAUAGGAGCUCCUGCUGCAUGGUGGGGGUUGGAAAGUUUCGGCGGUUGGGGAUGGACUCGCGGCUUAUUAGCUUGUUGGUGGGGUAGUGGCUUACCAAGGCUUUGACGGGUAGCCGGCCUGAGAGGGUGAACGGGCACCAUGGGACUGGGAGACGGGCCAGAGUCCUACGGGGGGCAGGAGGGGGGAAUAUUGCCCAACGGGGCGAAGCCUGAUUGAGGAACCUCCGGUGCGGGAAGACGGCCUUUGGGGUGUAAACCGCUUUCGCCUGUGACGAAGCGUGAGUGACGGUAAUGGGUAAAGAAGCACCGGCUAACUACGUG